RNAcentral lists this ribosomal RNA (494 nucleotides) under uncultured bacterium. RNAcentral's name for it is "bacterial SSU rRNA". It matches the Rfam family "Bacterial small subunit ribosomal RNA", at positions 38 to 507 of the family's 1533-position model. The record is from RNAcentral.
GGCGGCAUGCCUAACACAUGCAAGUCGAACGGAAACAGGACGCUGUGAUCUCUUCGGAGUGAACUUGUCGCUGUCGAGUGGCGGACGGGUGAGUAAUGCAUAGGAAUUUGCCUUGAAGUGGGGGAUAGCCCGGAGAAAUCCGGAUUAAUACCGCAUGUGCUCUACGGAGCAAAGCGGGCCUCUGAUUCAAGCUCGCGCUUUGAGAUAAGCCUAUGUCGGAUUAGCUUGUUGGUAGGGUAAAAGCCUACCAAGGCGACGAUCCGUAGCUGGUUUGAGAGGAUGAUCAGCCACACUGGGACUGAGACACGGCCCAGACUCCUACGGGAGGCAGCAGUGGGGAAUAUUGGACAAUGGGCGGAAGCCUGAUCCAGCAAUGCCGCGUGUGUGAAGAAGGCCUGCGGGUUGUAAAGCACUUUUAUCGGGAAAGAAAACCCCAGGAUUAAUACCCCUGGGUCUUGACGGUACCCGAAGAAUAAGCACCGGCUAACUCAGUG